Molecule: long non-coding RNA, 609 nt
Organism: Erigeron canadensis
Lineage: Eukaryota; Viridiplantae; Streptophyta; Magnoliopsida; Asterales; Asteraceae
Exons: 2
Source: RefSeq, a predicted model, not a curated record
UUUUCAUUUUUUACCCUCAUUAAAAUUGUCUAAUUAGUCUACCUUAUUAAAUAUCUAAACUUCUUUUAAUUUUAUUUUUUUUCCUUUUAAAAUUAGAUAUAUAAUAAUUGAAAAGGCCUCACCAACACGAUAGCCUAAAAAUAUGUUUUUUACUUGAAGAGUCAACAAAUGUUCAUUUGGUAGUCCAUGUAAAGGUUAGCUGGAUUUGCUCGACAUAAUAUAACUAGAGAACUGUAAAACGCUUCACCGGAGCUGCAAGAUGUGCAUAAUUCUUGCCGGAAAAUCUAUCAUAAAGAGGAGGUGAAUUUUUGGAUUAGAAUAUGUCAACGUCGAUUCUUACAUGGACUAACACAUCACGAAAAUUUGCUGACCCAUUGAUUGGCUCAGAGUUGAAAUAUAACUCCUUGAUUGGCUCAAAUUUGUCAUGUAACACGUUUCUUUUUCACAAUAUUUGGUUUACUCUUUUAGAAAAGAUAAACUACCUACCUUUUGUUCACAAUUUGACUUUUAGAUCAUAAUAAAAUUGAUGCAUGGAAUUCACAAAGAACAAGUAUAUGUAUUGAUGCACGAUGAUUUUUAUGAUGUAUGGUGAUUUUCAAUAUAGAUAAA